AGCGAACGCUGGCGGCAUGCUUAACACAUGCAAGUCGCACGGAGGGGCAACCCUCAGUGGCGGACGGGUGAGUAACGCGUAGGUAUCUGUCCAUGGGUGGGGGAUAACAGCGGGAAACUGCUGCUAAUACCGCAUGACACCUGAGGGUCAAAGGCGCAAGUCGCCUGUGGAGGAGCCUGCGUCCGAUUAGCUUGUUGGUG
This 200-nucleotide ribosomal RNA is filed under the name uncultured bacterium. Its description in RNAcentral is "partial 16S ribosomal RNA". It matches the Rfam family "Bacterial small subunit ribosomal RNA", at positions 29 to 254 of the family's 1533-position model. The record is from RNAcentral.